CCUACGGGCGGCAGCAGUGGGGAAUAUUGCACAAUGGGGGAAACCCUGAUGCAGCGACGCCGCGUGAAGGAUGAAGUAUUUCGGUAUGUAAACCUCUAUCAGCAGGGAAGAUAAUGACGGUACCUGACUAAGAAGCCCCGGCUAACUACGUGCCAGCAGCCGCGGUAAUACGUAGGGGGCAAGCGUUAUCCGGAUUUACUGGGCGUAAAGGGUGCGUAGGUGGUGAUGAAAGUCAGAAGUGAAAGCCCUGGGCUCAACCCCGGGACUGCUUUUGAAACUGGGUUACUAGAUUGCAGGAGAGGUGAGUGGAAUUCCUAGUGUAGCGGUGAAAUGCGUAGAUAUUAGGAGGAACACCAGUGGCGAAGGCGGCUUACUGGACUGUAAAUGACGCUGAGGCUCGAAAGCGUGGGGAGCAAACAGGAUUAGAUACCCCAGUAGUC
Molecule: ribosomal RNA, 440 nt
Filed under: uncultured bacterium
Lineage: Bacteria
Description: partial 16S ribosomal RNA
Rfam family: Bacterial small subunit ribosomal RNA
Source: RNAcentral